Molecule: long non-coding RNA, 515 nt
Organism: Papaver somniferum (opium poppy)
Lineage: Eukaryota; Viridiplantae; Streptophyta; Magnoliopsida; Ranunculales; Papaveraceae
Exons: 3
Source: RefSeq, a predicted model, not a curated record
GUUUCUAUGUUUUGGAUAUCAUUUUGGAGGAUGUUGCAGUCUAAAUACUUUUAUAGGAAUCAUCCAACUAUAUUGGUAACUGGGGAAGACUUAUAUCUCAAUGUUCUCAGAAUCCACACCAGCAUAUUUCUGGUACUAAAUUCACAAUCGGUCAAAUUUUUGUUGAGACUUCUGCAUCCAAAACUCCUGCUGACAAGAAGGCUAAACUGAGUACGUCCCAAAAAUCUGGAGGUAGAAGAGAACGGAGAAUAACAUGAAGAGCAGGGAACUCAGGAAGAAGAGGUUAUUGAGGUCGAAGCUGAUUCCACAGAUAUGAGCAAUAAGUGCCAGUUAAGAAGCUAUACUUGUUUGAGCAUGUAGGUAAUGAAUGAUCUUGAGUUUGUCUCCAGGUCUUGUUCCUUUAAGAUUUGUAUCUACUACUGUUAUUACACUUAACAUUACAAUUGCAGAAUUUGUAUGUUCUAAAAACUUAGGAAAUGUUUAUGUACUUGUCAUUCUUUUGAUACUAGGCACAA